AGUGAACGCUGGCGGUAGGCCUAACGCAUGCAAGUCGAACGGCAGCACGGUAAGAGCUUGCUCUUACGGGUGGCGAGUGGCGGACGGGUGAGGAAUACAUCGGAAUCUACUUUUUCGUGGGGGAUAACGUAGGGAAACUUACGCUAAUACCGCAUACGACCUACGGGUGAAAGCAGGGGAUCUUCGGACCUUGCGCGAUUGAAUGAGCCGAUGUCGGAUUAGCUAGUUGGCGGGGUAAAGGCCCACCAAGGCGACGAUCCGUAGCUGGUCUGAGAGGAUGAUCAGCCACACUGGAACUGAGACACGGUCCAGACUCCUACGGGAGGCAGCAGUGGGGAAUAUUGGACAAUGGGCGCAAGCCUGAUCCAGCCAUACCGCGUGGGUGAAGAAGGCCUUCGGGUUGUAAAGCCCUUUUGUUGGGAAAGAAAAGCAGCAGGUUAAUACCCCGCUGUUCUGACGGUACCCAAAGAAUAAGCACCGGCUAACUUCGUG
This 492-nucleotide ribosomal RNA is filed under the name uncultured bacterium. RNAcentral describes it as "partial 16S ribosomal RNA". It matches the Rfam family "Bacterial small subunit ribosomal RNA", at positions 29 to 507 of the family's 1533-position model. The record is from RNAcentral.